GAGACGCACACACACAGAGACGCACAGAGACACAGAGAGAGAGAGACGACACACAGAGAGAGACGCACACACACACAGACGCACACACAGAGACACACACACACACACACACAGAGAGAGACGCACACAGAGAGAGACGCACACACACACACACACACAGACGCACACACAGAGACACACACCCACCCCCUCUCUCUUGCCCUCCCCGCUGAUGUUGAUUCUGCUGAUUCGUUUUGUUCAGUUAAGAUCAGCGAAGCCAACACCAGUCUUGUAACGUUUUGUUUCAACCAGUUUUAUUUAUGAAUUAUGAAUUAUUAUUAUUGUUAUUGUUGUUAUUAGUGGUCAGUCCUCCAGUCUCACUGUUUGCAGGUCACUCUCUCUCCUCUGUCUUGGCUGUGUGUCUCUCUAGUGGUCAGUGUGGGGUCAGUCUCUCAGGAACAUCGCUCCUCUUCACUGUGUCCGUCUCUCUCCUCUCACAGAACAGGGUAGCGUCUCCGAGUGCAGCAGGAAGGAGACAGCGGGACUGCAGAACUUCACAUGUUUACUAAUAAUAAUAAUAAUAAUAAUAAUAAUAAUAAUACAACACAAACACAGUACAGGGUUUAUGUCGUUGUCUAAGUUUGGGUGCCGUCUUUAACAAACUAAAUCUGGAGCAUGCUGGGUGUUUGUGCAGCAGUGCUGGUCAAAGUGGAGUGGGGAUGUGCAGGUCCUGAUCUGAAUCGCAGGUCCUGAUCUGAUCUGAAUCGCAGGUCCUGAUCCGAUAUGAAUCGCAGGUCCUGAUCCGAUCUGAAUCGCAGGUCCUGAUCUGAUCUGAAUCGCAGGUCCUGAUCCGAUAUGAAUCGCAGGUCCUGAGCCGAUCUGGAUCGCAGGUCCUGAGCCGAUCUGAAUCGCAGGUCCUGAUCCGAUCUGGAUCGCAGGUCCUGAGCCGAUCUGAAUCGCAGGUCCUGAUCUGAUCUGAAUCGCAGGUCCUGAUCCGAUCUGAAUCGCAGGUCCUGAUCUGAUCUGAAUCGCAGGUCCUGAUCUGAUCUGAAUCGCAGGUCCUGAUCCGAUAUGAAUCGCAGGUCCUGAUCCGAUCUGAAUCGCAGGUCCUGAUCCGAUCUGAAUCGCAGGUCCUGAGCCGAUCUGGAUCGCAGGUCCUGAGCCGAUCUGAAUCGCAGGUCCUGAUCCGAUCUGGAUCGCAGGUCCUGAUCCGAUCUGGAUCGCAGGUCCUGAUCCGAUCUGAAUCGCAGGUCCUGAGCCGAUCUGGAUCGCAGGUCCUGAUCCGAUCUGAAUCGCAGGUACUUGCCAUGGUUCUCAUGGGCUGCUUCUUGUCUGAGGCACAAGAAGAUCAAAAACGAUCAAAUUCAAAGAGAGAGAGGAGAGAGGAGAGAGUGACUUCAUCACACCAGCUAUGAAACACAUUGAGGAAGCGCUCAGUGAGCCGGGCUGAACACACACGCUGCACACCUCUAUUAGAAACAUCCCAGUGAAUCCGUACAGCCCUAACUACAACUACAGUUCCUCCCCUGCAAUGGUGAGGGAUGCUGGGAGCUGUAGUUCUUGAGCUGCAGCGAGCCUGGCUGCACACCUCUAUGAGAAACAUCCUGUAAAGAAAGCAUUGCACCUCAGCGACACAUUGAGCACUAUAACAUGAUUCAGAAUACCCUAUUAUUUAUUUUGUCGUUUUUGUUUUGUUUCGAACCCGUAGAAAUAUCUUGGGCAGGUUUAAAUUUUGAACAAUAAAUAAUGACGCCUCUCUCCUCGGUUUCUCUAUAUCAAGGAUCCUGGAAAUAUAAAUAAAUAAAUCAUUUGAAAUCUAGUAGCACACGAGAGCCCAUUUUUGUACUCUAUUUAUUGUGUAUAAUGAUGAAUUCUCUCUCUUUUUUUUUUUUAAAUAUGUACAUUUAGUAAAACUGUAAAUUAAAGUGCUCCUUUUUAAAAAGUGGA
Acipenser ruthenus (sterlet) is the source of this 1926-nucleotide long non-coding RNA. RefSeq lists it as uncharacterized. The record is from RefSeq and is a predicted model, not a curated record. Lineage: Eukaryota; Metazoa; Chordata; Actinopteri; Acipenseriformes; Acipenseridae. The transcript is spliced from 2 exons.